This 299-nucleotide long non-coding RNA is filed under the name Elaeis guineensis (African oil palm). Its description in RNAcentral is "long non-coding RNA (EGUI_LNC074750)". Lineage: Eukaryota; Viridiplantae; Streptophyta; Magnoliopsida; Arecales; Arecaceae. The record is from RNAcentral.
AUGAUGAUGACUUGAUUGAUGAACCAGUAGAAAUUUUUUUUACUAUUCAUCCCUGCUCUAGCCAGAGACUCUCAGAGUCAUUAUCUUAUGAGAUCACAUAGGAUGUUCUCUCCUCCUACAAGAAGUGACCGAUUCCUUAUUGUGUUGGAGCAUGAUCCUGGCUCUUCCCAUAGACCUUGGGUGCAGCGAAACCAGCAAUGAAUAGAUCUGGAGUCAUCUGGACACGAUCCAAGGCCCUUGACGAAAUCAGCCUGGUUGCUGUCUUCAUCGUCAGCCUUUCGUUCCAGAUGAAGAACGCC